AACGAACGCUGGCGGCAUGCCUAACACAUGCAAGUCGAACGAGACCUUCGGGUCUAGUGGCGCACGGGUGCGUAACGCGUGGGAACCUGCCCUUAGGUUCGGAAUAACUCCCCGAAAGGGGUGCUAAUACCGGAUAAUGUCCUCGGACCAAAGAUUUAUCGCCUUUGGAUGGGCCCGCGUUGGUUUAGCUAGUUGGUAGGGUAAAAGCCUACCAAGGCGACGAUCCAUAGCUGGUCUGAGAGGAUGAUCAGCCACACUGGGACUGAGACACGGCCCAGACUCCUACGGGAGGCAGCAGUGGGGAAUAUUGGAAAAUGGGCGAAAGCCUGAUCCAGCAAUGCCGCGUGAGUGAUGAAGGCCUUAGGGUUGUAAAGCUCUUUUACCCGGGAUGAUAAUGACAGUACCGGGAGAAUAAGCUCCGGCUAACUCCGUG
Molecule: ribosomal RNA, 433 nt
Filed under: uncultured bacterium
Lineage: Bacteria
Description: partial 16S ribosomal RNA
Rfam family: Bacterial small subunit ribosomal RNA
Source: RNAcentral